CGAAUAUUCAGACCCUUUAUUAGG
Molecule: non-coding RNA, 24 nt
Filed under: Arabidopsis thaliana (thale cress)
Lineage: Eukaryota; Viridiplantae; Streptophyta; Magnoliopsida; Brassicales; Brassicaceae
Source: RNAcentral